This 440-nucleotide ribosomal RNA is filed under the name uncultured bacterium. Its description in RNAcentral is "partial 16S ribosomal RNA". It matches the Rfam family "Bacterial small subunit ribosomal RNA", at positions 338 to 795 of the family's 1533-position model. The record is from RNAcentral.
CCUACGGGUGGCAGCAGUAGGGAAUUUUGCGCAAUGGGCGAAAGCCUGACGCAGCAACGCCGCGUGAUCGAGACGCCCUUCGGGGUGUAAAGAUCUGUCAGUGGGGACGAAACUUGACGGUACCCACAGAGGAAGCACCGGCUAACUCCGUGCCAGCAGCCGCGGUAAUACGGGGGGUGCAAGCGUUGUCCGGAAUCAUUGGGCGUAAAGAGUUCGUAGGCGGCACGUAAAGUCUGGUGUUAAAGGCAGAGGCUCAACUUCUGUACGGCACUGGAUACUUGCGAGCUAGAAUGCGGUAGAGGUAAAGGGAAUUCCUGGUGUAGCGGUGAAAUGCAUAGAUAUCACGCAGAACUCCGAUUGCGAAGGCAGCAUACCGGCGCUCAACUGACGCUGAGGCACGAAAGCGUGGGGAUCGAACAGGAUUAGAUACCCGUGUAGUC